RNAcentral lists this small nucleolar RNA (110 nucleotides) under Arabidopsis thaliana x Arabidopsis arenosa. RNAcentral describes it as "snoR71". It matches the Rfam family "Plant small nucleolar RNA R71". Rfam says of the family: R71 is a member of the C/D box family of snoRNAs containing the C (UGAUGA) and D (CUGA) box motifs. Multiple nearly identical copies of this snoRNA have been identified in Arabidopsis, and it is thought to function as a 2'-O-ribose methylation guide for 18S ribosomal RNA. The record is from RNAcentral. Lineage: Eukaryota; Viridiplantae; Streptophyta; Magnoliopsida; Brassicales; Brassicaceae.
AAACCAUGGUGUGGACCACUGUAUAGUUGUAGCCUUUGAAAUCUCUCCCAGGCCUCACAAAUGGAUUCAGACUGCUUUUGGGUGAAACUGGAGAUUUCAUUCCUUAGACG